AACACUUUAAUAGGCGACUUCAGGUGCUCCAGAAGGGCUUUACAUUUUCCCUUGUAACUAUACAUACAUGUAUUUGGAAGAUUGAUUGAUUGACAUCUAGUUACAAACGUGUCAUGCAUAAUCAGGACGAAAACACAAAUUAAACAGAACAGAAUGACAUACCAUUAAAAGGGAAGAGUUUGGGUCGAUUUUAGAACGCAGCAAUCAUGACUGGAACCAUUGUUCCCAUCGGUAUAUUUCAAGACGUCACAAAAAAAAACAAAAAAUAACCAUGAUUUAAAUUUCCAUCCAAAACACACAAAACAAAUUCCCAAACCAAUCAAAAUUUACAAUAUUCGAAAAUCAUCCCACACAUACCCUUAAAAAAAAACCC
This 373-nucleotide long non-coding RNA is filed under the name Mytilus galloprovincialis (Mediterranean mussel). Lineage: Eukaryota; Metazoa; Mollusca; Bivalvia; Mytilida; Mytilidae. The record is from RNAcentral.